Molecule: small RNA, 86 nt
Filed under: Desulfuribacillus alkaliarsenatis
Lineage: Bacteria; Bacillati; Bacillota; Desulfuribacillia; Desulfuribacillales; Desulfuribacillaceae
Description: low GC Gram-positive bacterium strain AHT28 BsrC
Rfam family: BsrC
About the family: The 301 nucleotide sequence from Kouji Nakamura has been trimmed to a highly conserved ~85 nucleotide long core to form this family.
Source: Rfam by way of RNAcentral
UGAAAAUUAAACGAUGUAAGCCCUACCUCUCAAACAUUCUUACGGCUCCGAAGCCGAUCCAGGUGAAUAAUUCCUUAACUAAACAA